AACGAACGCUGGCGGCAUGCCUAACACAUGCAAGUCGAACGAGACCUUCGGGUCUAGUGGCGCACGGGUGCGUAACGCGUGGGAACCUGCCCUUAGGUUCGGAAUAACUCCCCGAAAGGGGUGCUAAUACCGGAUAAUGUCUUCGGACCAAAGAUUUAUCGCCUUUGGAUGGGCCCGCGUUGGAUUAGCUAGUUGGUAGGGUAAAAGCCUACCAAGGCGACGAUCCAUAGCUGGUCUGAGAGGAUGAUCAGCCACACUGGGACUGAGACACGGCCCAGACUCCGGGGGAAGGGAGGGGGGGGAAAUAUUGAAAAGGGGGCAAGGCUCUGACCAAGCAUUGCCGGGGGAGAAAGAAGGGCGUUGGGGUUGAAAAGCUUUUUUCCCCGGAAUGAUAAGGACAGGCGGGGGAAAAAAGGCCCCGGCAAACUCCGGC
Molecule: ribosomal RNA, 433 nt
Filed under: uncultured bacterium
Lineage: Bacteria
Description: partial 16S ribosomal RNA
Rfam family: Bacterial small subunit ribosomal RNA
Source: RNAcentral